This 320-nucleotide ribosomal RNA is filed under the name uncultured bacterium. RNAcentral's name for it is "bacterial SSU rRNA". It matches the Rfam family "Bacterial small subunit ribosomal RNA", at positions 470 to 789 of the family's 1533-position model. The record is from RNAcentral.
UGACGGUACCUGACUAAGAAGCCCCGGCUAACUACGUGCCAGCAGCCGCGGUAAUACGUAUGGUGCAAGCGUUAUCCGGAUUUACUGGGUGUAAAGGGAGCGUAGACGGCAUGGCAAGCCAGAUGUGAAAUGCGGGGGCUCAACCCCUGAACUGCAUUUGGAACUGUCAAGCUAGAGUAUCGGAGAGGUAAGUGGAAUUCCUAGUGUAGCGGUGAAAUGCGUAGAUAUUAGGAGGAACACCAGUGGCGAAGGCGGCUUACUGGACGAUAACUGACGUUGAGGCUCGAAAGCGUGGGGAGCAAACAGGAUUAGAUACCCUG